RNAcentral lists this ribosomal RNA (1444 nucleotides) under uncultured Bordetella sp. Its description in RNAcentral is "partial 16S-23S ribosomal RNA intergenic spacer". It matches the Rfam family "Bacterial small subunit ribosomal RNA". Lineage: Bacteria; Pseudomonadati; Pseudomonadota; Betaproteobacteria; Burkholderiales; Alcaligenaceae. The record is from RNAcentral.
GGUUUGAUUCUUGGCUCAUGAUUGAACGCUAAGUGGGAUGCUUUACACAUGCAAGUCGAACGGCAGCACGGACUUCGGUCUGGUGGCGAGUGGCGAACGGGUGAGGUCAUCGGAACGUGCCUAGUAAAGGGGGGGAUAAUUCGACGCGAAAGCAGAAGCAUUACCGCAUACGCCUCUUCGGGGGAAAGCGGGGACCUUCGGGCCUCGCACUAUUAGAGCGGCCGAUAUCGGAUUAGCUUAGUUGGUGGGGUAACGGCUCACCAAGGCGACGAUCCGUAGCUGGUUUGAGAGGACGACCAGCCACACUGGGACUGAGACACGGCCCAGACUCCUACGGAGGCAGUGGGGAAUGGAUAAUGGGGGAAACUCCUGAUCCAGCCAUUCCGCGUGUGCGAUGAAGGCCUUCGGGUUGCAAAGCACUUUGGACAGAACAGCCGGCACCGCAACCACGGCACUUGCGCAGCCCCACACCCACGCCAGCAGCCGCGGUAAUACGUAGGGUGCAAGCGUUAAUCGGAAUUACUGGGCGGAAGCGUGCGCAGGCGGUUCGGAAAGAAAGAUGUGAAAUCCCAGAGCUUAACUUUGGAACUGCAUUUUUAACUACCGAGCUAGAGUGUGUCAGGAGGAGGUGGAAUUCCCGCGUAGCAGUGAAAUGCGUAGAUAUGCGGAGGAACACCGAUGGCGAAGGCAGCCUCUCCUGGGAUAACACUGACGCUCAUGCACGAAAGCGUGGGAGCAAACAGGAUUAGAUACCCUGGUAGUCCACGCCCUAAACGAUGUCAACUAGCUGUUGUCUUCGGGCCUGGUAGCGCAGCUAAUCGCGUGAAGUUGACCGCCUGGGGAGUACGGUCGCAAGAUUAAAAACUCAAAGGAAUUGACGGGACUGCACAAGCGGCGGAUGAUGUGGAUUAAUUCCGAUGCAACGCGAAAAACCUUACCUACCCUUGACAUGUCUGGAAUCCCGAAGAGAUUUGGGAGUGCUCGCAAGAGAACCGGAACACAGGUGCUGCAUGGCUGUCGUCAGCUCGUGUCGUGAGAUGUUGGGUUAAGUCCUGCAACGAGCGCAACCCUUGUCAUUAGUUGCUACGAAAGGGUACCAGUACGAGACUGCCGGUGACAACCGAGGAAGGUGGGGGAUGAGGUCAAGUCCUCAUGGCCCUUAUGGGUAGGGCUUCACACGUCAUACAAUGGUCGGGACAGAGGUCGCCAACCCGCGAGGGAGCAAUCCCAGAAACCCGAUCGUAGUCCGGAUCGCAGUCUGCAACUCGACUGCGUGAAGUCGGAAUCGCCAGUAAUCGCGGAUCAGCAUGUCGCGGUGAAUAUGUUCCCGGGUCUUGUACACACCGCCCGUCACACCAUGGAGUGGGUUUACCGGAAGUAGUUAGCCUAACCGUAAGGAGGGCGAUUACCACAGUAGAUUCACACUAGUGUCGUAACAAGGUAG